Long non-coding RNA from Vigna angularis (adzuki bean), 872 nucleotides. RefSeq lists it as uncharacterized. The transcript has 2 exons. The record is from RefSeq and is a predicted model, not a curated record. NCBI's taxonomy places the organism in Eukaryota, Viridiplantae, Streptophyta, Magnoliopsida, Fabales, Fabaceae.
AAUAUCAUGGCGAAACAUAGAUUCGGAUACACAACAACAAUCUGGACUAGCAAGCAGGAAAAAAAUGCUAGCUCUUACAAUGAAACACAGACUCAUACAUGCAAGAGCGAACAAAGAACAAUGGCAGUUAGCUGGAGAUGUGAAAGACCGUAAAAGGUUAAUGAUGUUGGUGUUGAAAGUCAGGGGAGUCUAAGAGGAGUCUAAGAGUUUGGGGUUAGGCUGUAGUAAUGAGGUGCGCGAUAGGUGGAAACCAGAAGAUGAUGAUCGGAUUCAAAAUGGCUCCCUCUCCAAAGAACCUGCAUGCGCAGAUCAAGAAGGAGAAAAAGCCCCCGACUUAGGAUUUUUCUCUGCUUUUGUUUUGUCUUUUUUCCCUUUUUUGUGAUUACCAAAACCAAUUCUCCCAGCAUUUCCUCUUUGAUGAUCACCUGCAUGUACAGGGACUCUUCCCAGCAACAGCAGCAGGAACAAAGACCCCGAUACGAUGCAUAUAAUACACAUUGCUGCAGGGAAUCUGUUGUACUCGACAGGGUUCUAAAAGUGUGGUUGACCGUAUUCUCCAUUUUUCGUUUUCGUUUUUAUUUUUCUUUUUCCUUUUUUUUUUACUUACAUUAAGGCUGUGUUCUUUUUAAGGGAUUUAAGGGAGAUGAUUUGGGGGAGAUGAUUUGAGUGGAUUUGAGGGUAAUUUUUUUGUUGUUUUUUUGAGUGGAUUUGAGGUUAAUUGAGAGUGGAUUUGGAAGGAAAGUUUGUGAGAAUUAGUGUAGGAUUUGAUUGAUGUGAUUGAUUUUAAAAAUUAGUUUAAUUGGUAGAAAAUAUAGAUUACCAAAUUGCCCUUCUUAUAAAAGUAUUAUAAAAUGUUAUUUUGUAAUGUUAUA